CAGGGUCUUCACGGCUUUACAAUUGUAACUCUGCAAAAUACCAAGAAGGUUGAGACUGUCCAAAAGGAUAAUAUCACAGGAGAAGCAAAGAGCAGAAUGAAUGAGCUGCUGCCCUCGUUACUGUGAUUCUUCUGAACUGCCUCUGCCUUUUCACACCUUCAUCACUUGGGUGGCAACAGCUCCCCCCCCAUACCCAGAAUUUUUCACACACAGACUCUCUGAAGCCAGACAAACUCCAAGACUAAGCAACUUGCACCAUGUGAUCUCAGCAUGAGCAGCUGAAAUGAGUCCUACCUGUGAAAGUGUAUUAUUAGAAGAAUGUUCUGCUAUUACUCCUUUAACUCUUAGAUAAAUGCAAACUUAAACCAGUAUGAUGUCUAAAUCAUUUCUCAGUUUUGGAUGCUUCUGUGCAUCCUACACAGUGUAAUACUAUGGUAUACACAGUAUUAAGACCAUAGCCAAAAGUUUUACUGAAUUAAACAGUGUUGUGUUCACAAAACUUUUGUGGUUUUAAAGUUUUAGGACACUUCUGUUUCUCAAGUGUCUGUUGAAGAGAUAAAUGUCAAUGUACAAUUUCAUGAAUUAAAUAAAAAAUAAUAAAAGAAAAAAAAAGUAGUUUAA
This is a long non-coding RNA of Neopsephotus bourkii (Bourke's parrot), 621 nucleotides long. RefSeq lists it as uncharacterized. NCBI's taxonomy places the organism in Eukaryota, Metazoa, Chordata, Aves, Psittaciformes, Psittacidae. The transcript is spliced from 2 exons. The record is from RefSeq and is a predicted model, not a curated record.